GAUGAACGCUAGCUACAGGCUUAACACAUGCAAGUCGAGGGGAAACGACAUCGAAAGCUUGCUUUUGAUGGGCGUCGACCGGCGCACGGGUGAGUAACGCGUAUCCAACCUUCCCGCAACUGGGGGAUAACCUUGCGAAAGUAAGACUAAUACCCCAUGGUCUCCACGGAUGGCAUCUGAAAUGGAGUAAAGGUUUCGGCCGGUUGCGGAUGGGGAUGCGUCCGAUUAGCUUGACGGCGGGGUAACGGCCCACCGUGGCAUCGAUCGGUAGGGGUUCUGAGAGGAAGGUCCCCCACAUUGGAACUGAGACACGGUCCAAACUCCUACGGGAGGCAGCAGUGAGGAAUAUUGGUCAAUGGGCGGAAGCCUGAACCAGCCAAGUAGCGUGAAGGACGACUGCCCUAUGGGUUGUAAACUUCUUUUAUGCGGGGAUAAAGUUCGCCACGUGUGGCGUUUUGCAGGUACCGCAUGAAUAAGGACCGGCUAAUUCCGUG
RNAcentral lists this ribosomal RNA (494 nucleotides) under uncultured bacterium. RNAcentral describes it as "bacterial SSU rRNA". It matches the Rfam family "Bacterial small subunit ribosomal RNA", at positions 28 to 507 of the family's 1533-position model. The record is from RNAcentral.